UGGGGAAUAUUGGACAAUGGGCGCAAGCCUGAUCCAGCCAUGCCGCGUGGAUGAUGAAGGCCCUAGGGUUGUAAAGUCCUUUCGACGGGGAAGAUAAUGACGGUACCCGUAGAAGAAGCCCCGGCUAACUUCGUGCCAGCAGCCGCGGUAAUACGAAGGGGGCUAGCGUUGCUCGGAAUCACUGGGCGUAAAGCGCACGUAGGCGGACUCUUAAGUCGGUGGUGAAAUCCUGGAGCUCAACUCCAGAACUGCCUUCGAUACUGAGAGUCUCGAGUCCGAGAGAGGUGAGUGGAACUGCGAGUGUAGAGGUGAAAUUCGUAGAUAUUCGCAAGAACACCAGUGGCGAAGGCGGCUCACUGGCUCGGUACUGACGCUGAGGUGCGAAAGCGUGGGGAGCAAACAGGAUUAGAUACCCAGGUAGUCCCUGAGCGGGCUGGCAAGGCGCAU
Molecule: ribosomal RNA, 447 nt
Filed under: uncultured bacterium
Lineage: Bacteria
Description: bacterial SSU rRNA
Rfam family: Bacterial small subunit ribosomal RNA
Source: RNAcentral